RNAcentral lists this ribosomal RNA (415 nucleotides) under uncultured eukaryote. Its description in RNAcentral is "bacterial SSU rRNA". It matches the Rfam family "Eukaryotic small subunit ribosomal RNA", at positions 1229 to 1655 of the family's 1831-position model. The record is from RNAcentral.
CACGGUAAGGAUUGACGGACUGAAGGCUCUUUCUCGAUUCCGUGGAAAGUGGUGCAUGGCCGUUUUUGGUUGGUGGAUCGAUCCGUCUGGUUAAUUCCGUUAACGAACGAGACCUCGGCACUCCGAAUAGCGCGGCGGACGUCGCGGCCUCCGGGCCGUCUUCCGCACGAGCUUCUUAGAGGGACCGUCCCCCGCCGGGGAAGGAGGUGCGAGGCAACGACAGGUCUGUGAUGCCCUUAGAUGUUCUGGGCCGCACGCGCAUUACACUGACGCGUCCAACGGGUGACUCCCGACCCGAAGGGGCCGGGGAAUCCGCAAGGCGCGUCGUGAUGGGGAUUGAACGUUGCAAUUGUUGUUCACGAACGAGGAAUUCCUAGUAGGCGCGGGUCAUCAACCCGCGCCGAUUACGUCCCUG